RNAcentral lists this ribosomal RNA (377 nucleotides) under uncultured bacterium. Its description in RNAcentral is "bacterial SSU rRNA". It matches the Rfam family "Bacterial small subunit ribosomal RNA", at positions 523 to 898 of the family's 1533-position model. The record is from RNAcentral.
AUACGGGGGGAGCAAGCGUUGUCCGGAAUCACUGGGCGUAAAGCGCGUGUAGGCGGGCCUGUAAGUCUGGGGUGAAAUGUUGGGGCUUAACCCCGAACCUGCCUUAGAAACUACAGGUCUUGAGUAUGGAAGAGGGAAGCGGAAUUCCAGGUGUAGCGGUGGAAUGCUUAGAUAUCUGGAAGAACACCGGUGGCGAAGGCGGCUUCCUGGCCCAUUACUGACGCUCAAACGCGAAAGCGUGGGUAGCAAACAGGAUUAGAUACCCUGGUAGUCCACGCCCUAAACGAUGAACACUAGGUGCUGGGAGAUUCGACCCUUUCAGUGCCGUAGCAAACGCGUUAAGUGUUCCGCCUGGGGAGUACGAUCGCAAGGUUGAA